UCGUAGACUCCUACGGGAGGCAGCAGUGGGAAUAUUGCACAAUGGGCGCAAGCCUGUAUGCAGCCAUGCCGCGUGUGUGAAGAAGGCCUUCGGGUUGUAAAGCACUUUCAGUCGUGAGGAAGGUAGUGUAGUUAAUAGCUGCAUUAUUUGACGUUAGCGACAGAAGAAGCACCGGCUAACUCCGUGCCAGCAGCCGCGGUAAUACGGAGGGUGCGAGCGUUAAUCGGAAUUACUGGGCGUAAAGCGCAUGCAGGUGGUUUGUUAAGUCAGAUGUGAAAGCCCCGGGGCUCAACCUCGGAAUUGCAUUUGAAACUGGCAGACUAGAGUACUGUAGAGGGGGUAGAAUUUCAGGUGUAGCGGUGAAAAUGCGUAGAGAUCUGAAGGAAUACCGGUGGCGAAGGCGGCCCCCUGGACAGAUACUGACACUCAGAUGCGAAAGCGUGGGGAGCAAACAGGAUUAGAUACCCUGGUAG
Molecule: ribosomal RNA, 473 nt
Filed under: uncultured bacterium
Lineage: Bacteria
Description: bacterial SSU rRNA
Rfam family: Bacterial small subunit ribosomal RNA
Source: RNAcentral